GCUUGGGUGGUUUAGUGGUAAAAUUCUCGCUUGCCACAAGCGAGUGAUCGCACCGGUUGCGGGAGCCCGGGGUUCGAUUCCCCGUCCAAGCA
Tilletiopsis washingtonensis is the source of this 92-nucleotide non-coding RNA. The record is from the annotation of a RefSeq genome assembly. Lineage: Eukaryota; Fungi; Basidiomycota; Exobasidiomycetes; Entylomatales.